GGUUGCGUGGCCGAGUGGUCUAAGGCGCUAGAUUAAGGACUAGCCGGAAAAAUCCCGGCAAGUUAGACCUCUAGUCCGAAAGGGCGCAGGUUCGAACCCUGCCGCAGCCA
Molecule: transfer RNA, 110 nt
Filed under: Gonium pectorale
Lineage: Eukaryota; Viridiplantae; Chlorophyta; Chlorophyceae; Chlamydomonadales; Volvocaceae
Rfam family: tRNA
About the family: Transfer RNA (tRNA) molecules are approximately 80 nucleotides in length. Their secondary structure includes four short double-helical elements and three loops (D, anti-codon, and T loops).
Source: Rfam by way of RNAcentral